AUCCCGUUUGGAGCAGAAGUCAGAGCCUUCAGUGUCUGCAUUGUUUCUCUGUUCCAAAGCCCUGAUCCAGAGCACGCGUGGAAACUUUCCAGGCCAUUGUGAAGUAUUCAUUAGUGCUGGUGCAGCUCAGAAGAGAAUUCUGCAUGGGCAAGCCGAGACAAAAGGAGAGAGAAGAGAAACAUGGAGAGAAUGUCCUGUCUUGGAUGGCAUUGUUUCACAGCUGGAAUGGGAGAAAAGCAACCCCUGCCACCCCCUGCCACGUACAGAUCCUAGGCUGGAUCUGUCACCUUACUGGGGUAUGGCUGAGGAUAUUGGAGGUUAAGGAAUUCCAUUGUCUCAAUAAACAUGUGCACUGAAGCAGAGCUGCACAUUCUCAUUCACCAUGGGCUCAGGUUUCGGACCGUCUGCCCGAAGGGGAAAUUUAUCCUGGCAACCGCUGAAAGGGGAACGCGUGUGGAUUGGCACCGGUUUGUGCAUUAAAAAAAUUAAUUUUUUUUUUUUA
This 502-nucleotide long non-coding RNA is filed under the name Calidris pugnax (ruff). RNAcentral's name for it is "lncRNA (ENSCPUG00000001795.1)". The record is from RNAcentral. Lineage: Eukaryota; Metazoa; Chordata; Aves; Charadriiformes; Scolopacidae.